CCGAGAGGCGUAGGCGAUGGAUAACCGGUUGAUAUUCCGGUACCCGCUGUGAAGCGUCAAACAUUGAAUCCAGUGAUGCUAAGCCCGUGAAGCCGUUCCGGACCCUUCGGGGAAUGGAAAGUGGUGGAGCCGGUGGCCCGAGCUGGUAGUAGGUGAGUGAUGGGGUGACGCAGGAAGGUAGUCCAUCCCGGGCGGUGGUUGUCCCGGGGUAAGGGUGUAGGACGUCAGGUAGGUAAAUCCGCCUGACACGUGGUCGAAAACCGGAGGCCAAGCCAAUGGGGGGGAAUGGAAGGAUCCUAGGCGGCGAAAAAAAGCCCCUAGCGAGUUUCAGGGCGGCCCGUACCCCAAACCAACCCAGG
Molecule: ribosomal RNA, 359 nt
Filed under: uncultured Actinomycetes bacterium
Lineage: Bacteria; Bacillati; Actinomycetota; Actinomycetes
Description: bacterial LSU rRNA
Rfam family: Bacterial large subunit ribosomal RNA
Source: RNAcentral